GGUUUGGGGUUCAACGACCCUGUACUGACCAAGAAAAGAACAAAUGGCAAGAACCUAGGGCUUUUUCAGACCCUUGCUUCAACGUUAAUAGUCUAUGAGCAUAAUUUGAAAGGAAACAACAUCACAUUCGGGGAGAGAAAGGGUGAGGGAUUGCAUGGUGCAACUUUGGGUAGAUUUUGGGACUUUAGGGCUUUGGGGUGUUGAUUUUUGAUAGAAAAUUCAAGGAGCUUGAUGAUGGUUUGAAAGAAUCAGGUUGAGAAUUUGAGAUGAGAGGAUAAAGGGAAUUCCGAGGUGUUAAAUUGAUGGGGAUUGGAGGUCAACCGCCGGCACUGGCAAUUUCCGGUGGGCAGCGGACGGCGGUGAGAAAUAGGG
Molecule: long non-coding RNA, 372 nt
Filed under: Nicotiana benthamiana
Lineage: Eukaryota; Viridiplantae; Streptophyta; Magnoliopsida; Solanales; Solanaceae
Description: long non-coding RNA (NBEN_LNC020514)
Source: RNAcentral